AGAUAAGGAGCUUGCUCCUUUGACGUUAGCGGCGGACGGGUGAGUAACACGUGGGUAACCUACCUAUAAGACUGGGACAACUUCGGGAAACCGGAGCUAAUACCGGAUAAUAUGUUGAACCGCAUGGUUCAAUAGUGAAAGAUGGUUUUGCUAUCACUUAUAGAUGGACCCGCGCCGUAUUAGCUAGUUGGUGAGGUAACGGCUCACCAAGGCAACGAUACGUAGCCGACCUGAGAGGGUGAUCGGCCACACUGGAACUGAGACACGGUCCAGACUCCUACGGGAGGCAGCAGUAGGGAAUCUUCCGCAAUGGGCGAAAGCCUGACGGAGCAACGCCGCGUGAGUGAUGAAGGUCUUCGGAUCGUAAAACUCUGUUAUUAGGGAAGAAUAAAUGUGUAAGUAACUAUGCACGUCUUGACGGUACCUAAUCAGAAAGCCACGGCUAACUACGUGCCAGCAGCCGCGGUAAUACGUAGGUGGCAAGCGUUAUCCGGAAUUAUUGGGCGUAAAGCGCGCGUAGGCGGUUUUUUAAGUCUGAUGUGAAAGCCCACGGCUCAACCGUGGAGGGUCAUUGGAAACUGGAAAACUUGAGUGCAGAAGAGGAAAGUGGAAUUCCAUGUGUAGCGGUGAAAUGCGCAGAGAUAUGGAGGAACACCAGUGGCGAAGGCGACUUUCUGGUCUGUAACUGACGCUGAUGUGCGAAAGCGUGGGGAUCAAACAGGAUUAGAUACCCUGGUAGUCCACGCCGUAAACGAUGAGUGCUAAGUGUUAGGGGGUUUCCGCCCCUUAGUGCUGCAGCUAACGCAUUAAGCACUCCGCCUGGGGAGUACGACCGCAAGUGAA
This 843-nucleotide ribosomal RNA is filed under the name uncultured Staphylococcus sp. RNAcentral describes it as "bacterial SSU rRNA". It matches the Rfam family "Bacterial small subunit ribosomal RNA", at positions 69 to 898 of the family's 1533-position model. Lineage: Bacteria; Bacillati; Bacillota; Bacilli; Caryophanales; Staphylococcaceae. The record is from RNAcentral.